GCGACAGGCCUAACACAUGCAAGUCAGGGGCAGCACAAGGAGCAAUCUGAGGUGGCGACCGGCGCACGGGUGAGUAACACGUAUGCAACCUGCCUGUAAGCGGGGAAUAACCCGUUGAAAGACGGACUAAUACCGCAUAAUACUAAAUUACUGCAUGGUAAUUUAUUUAAACAUUUAUGGCUUACAGAUGGGCAUGCGCAUGAUUAGCUAGUUGGAGAGGUAACGGCUCCCCAAGGCAACGAUCAUUAGGGGUUCUGAGAGGAAGGUCCCCCACACUGGUACUGAGACACGGACCAGACUCCUACGGGAGGCAGCAGUGAGGAAUAUUGGUCAAUGGACGAGAGUCUGAACCAGCCAAGUCGCGUGCAGGAAGAAUGUCCCUAUGGAUUGUAAACUGCUUUUGCAGGGGAAUAAAGUGCAUCACGUGUGAUGUUUUGUAUGUACUCUGCGGAUAAGGAUCGGCUAACUCCGUGCCAGCCGCAGC
RNAcentral lists this ribosomal RNA (484 nucleotides) under uncultured bacterium. Its description in RNAcentral is "bacterial SSU rRNA". It matches the Rfam family "Bacterial small subunit ribosomal RNA", at positions 39 to 518 of the family's 1533-position model. The record is from RNAcentral.